ACGUAGGUAAUGUACCGUAGGGUGGGGAAUAACUUAGGGAAACUUAAGCUAAUACCGCAUAAUGCAGCGGCACCGCAAGGUGACAGUUGUUAAAGGAGCAAUCCGCCUUAUGAGCAGCCUGCGGCAGAUUAGCUAGUUGGUAAGGUAAUGGCUUACCAAGGCGACGAUCUGUAACCGACCUGAGAGGGUGGUCGGUCACACUGACACUGAAUAACGGGUCAGACUCCUACGGGAGGCAGCAGUCGGGAAUUUUGGGCAAUGGGCGAAAGCCUGACCCAGCAACGCCGCGUGAAGGACGAA
This 300-nucleotide ribosomal RNA is filed under the name uncultured Chloracidobacterium sp. Its description in RNAcentral is "bacterial SSU rRNA". It matches the Rfam family "Bacterial small subunit ribosomal RNA", at positions 115 to 412 of the family's 1533-position model. Lineage: Bacteria; Pseudomonadati; Acidobacteriota; Blastocatellia; Chloracidobacteriales; Chloracidobacteriaceae. The record is from RNAcentral.